AUUCCAGCUCCAAUAGCGUAUACUAAAGUUGUUACAGUUAAAAAGCUCGUAGUUGAAUUUCUGGUCGUGGCGACCGGUCCGCCCCUCACGGGGUGUGCAUCUGGUCUCUGCGUCCAUCCUCGGGGAGAGCGCGUCUAGCAUUCAGUUGUCGGGCGCGGGAUCCUCGUCAUUUACUGUGAGCAAAAUAGAGUGUUCAAAGCAGGCUUAGGCCGUUGAAUACAUUAGCAUGGAAUAAUAAGAUAGGACCUUGGUCUAUUUUGUUGGUUUGCGUUCCAAGGUAAUGAUUAAUAGGGAUAGUUGGGGGUAUUCGUAUUCAAUUGUCAGAGGUGAAAUUCUUGGAUUUAUGGAAGACGAACUACUGCGAAAGCAUUUACCAAGGAUGUUUUCAUCA
Molecule: ribosomal RNA, 391 nt
Filed under: Chrysophyceae sp.
Lineage: Eukaryota; Chrysophyceae
Description: partial small subunit ribosomal RNA
Rfam family: Eukaryotic small subunit ribosomal RNA
Source: RNAcentral